Alnus glutinosa is the source of this 1202-nucleotide long non-coding RNA. RefSeq lists it as uncharacterized. The transcript has 4 exons. Lineage: Eukaryota; Viridiplantae; Streptophyta; Magnoliopsida; Fagales; Betulaceae. The record is from RefSeq and is a predicted model, not a curated record.
CCAAAAUAUUUCCCUCCCUUCCUCUCUCUCCAUCUCCUCUCCUCAACCCCCAUCAUGAACCGGCCACCGUCGACGACUCACAAGCCCGCCACCGUCGACCAUUCACGAGCCCGCCACUCCAUUGUGCGUUCUCCAUCUCCGACCAAAACCCAACCACCGUGGUUCUCCAUCUCCGGUUCGGCUCCGACGACCCAACCACCGUACCGCCACGAGCAGCCCCAGCCGAACCACCACCACCGCCGACGAGCCCAUCCCCCGAAUUGGAGGGACAAAGUUGGCUAAGAUUUGGGCUCCCACAGUUACUGCGACCAUUUCCCUCCCCCAUUUCCGGCACCGAACAAAUGCUAUAUGCAACAACUACUAUGUGGACUUGACCAUUGUCAUAGUCAUGGUGUUUGGAAAUGGUAUCACUCACAGCAUUGGACCACCAUAUGCAUCAGCUUUAUAGCACAAGCCAGUAGAUGGUUUUACUUUGUCAGGAGUUCACACAGCAGGCAAUGUAGAAAAUCCCCCUUUUUUAUGUCUACUUUGUCCAUUUCAUUUCCUUGAAGAUGAAAAAUGGUUAAUUGUCCAGAUUCAUCGGCAUGUAAUCAUUUACCCUUUCCCAAUUUGCUUAGAAAAAAAAAAAAAAAAAUUGUUUAUAUCAUGAAUUUGUUAGAGAUCCUUCAAAUGUACUACUGAGGUUCAUCAACAAGCAAGUGUCAUUUAAUGAUGUUCAAUGGCUUGUGUUAUACUAACAUAGCAUGAAUAAGUAACGAGCUUCACCUUACUGUUCAUAUCUCUUAUUUGUUUGGGCAUCAUGAUGACAACAGUUAUCGUUUAUAAGUUGAGCAACUGCAUAAAAUCUUCAAACUUUGUGGGUCACCUUUUGAAGAGUAUUGGAAGAAGUCAAAAUUGCCACAUGCAACCAUCUUUAAGCCUCAACAUCCUUACAAGCGUACAGUUGCUGAGACAUUCAAGGACUUUCCUGAUCCAGCAUUGGCCCUUUUGGAUGUCCUUCUUGCAGUAGAACCCGAGGGCUGUGGAACAGCUUCUUCUGCACUCCAGAGUGAGGGAAGAGUUUAGAUACGGGAGGUCAUUGUAGGCACUGAAGACCUUGUUGAUUGAGGUGGUGUAUUCCAAAUCAAGUGUAGUUUUUUUGGAUGAUGAGAUUAGGAAGUCUGUUGAGAGGGUUUAAUCCUGAAUGGUAUUGUUGUGAGAAG